AUGGUUCCUUUGGUCGCUCGCUCCCUCCUACUUGGAUAACUGUGGUAAUUCUAGAGCUAAUACAUGCCGACGAGCGCUGACCCGGGCCCCUUUCCCCCCGUGGGUGGGGGCUCCGGGGAUGCGUGCAUUUAUCAGACCAAAACCAACCCGGCGGUUUCCCCCCAACCCCCCAACCAGGGGCGGGGGUGCCCCGGCCGCUUUGGUGACUCUAGAUAACCUCGGGCCGAUCGCACGCCCCCCGUGGCGGCGAUGACCCAUUCGAACG
RNAcentral lists this ribosomal RNA (265 nucleotides) under Macropus giganteus (eastern gray kangaroo). Its description in RNAcentral is "partial 18S rRNA". It matches the Rfam family "Eukaryotic small subunit ribosomal RNA", at positions 113 to 303 of the family's 1831-position model. Lineage: Eukaryota; Metazoa; Chordata; Mammalia; Diprotodontia; Macropodidae. The record is from RNAcentral.